Molecule: ribosomal RNA, 450 nt
Filed under: uncultured bacterium
Lineage: Bacteria
Description: bacterial SSU rRNA
Rfam family: Bacterial small subunit ribosomal RNA
Source: RNAcentral
UACGGGAGGCAGCAGUGGGGAAUAUUGCACAAUGGGCGCAAGCCUGAUGCAGCCAUGCCGCGUGUAUGAAAAAGGCCUUCGGGUUGUAAAGUACUUUCAGUCGUGAGGAAGGUGUUAAGGUUAAUAACCUUAGCAAUUGACGUUAGCGACAGAAGAAGCACCGGCUAACUCCGUGCCAGCAGCCGCGGUAAUACGGAGGGUGCGAGCGUUAAUCGGAAUUACUGGGCGUAAAGGGCACGCAGGCGGUUAAUUAAGUUGGAUGUGAAAUCCCCGGGCUUAACCUGGGAAUGGCAUUCAAGACUGGUUAGCUAGAGUCUUGUAGAGGGGGUAGAAUUCCAUGUGUAGCGGUGAAAUGCGUAGAGAUGUGGAGGAAUACCGGUGGCGAAGGCGGCCCCUGGACAAAGACUGACGCUCAUGUGCGAAAGCGUGGGGAGCAAACAGGGAUUAGAU